UACGAAGGGGGCUAGCGUUGUUCGGAGUUACCGGGCGUAAAGGGCGCGUAGGCGGCGCACCAAGUCAGGCGUGAAAGCCCUGGGCUCAACCCGGGAAUUGCGCUUGAGACUGGUGUGCUUGAGUACGGGAGAGGAUAGUGGAAUUCCCAGUGUAGAGGUGAAAUUCGUAGAUAUUGGGAAGAACACCGGUGGCGAAGGCGGCUAUCUGGACCGUAACUGACGCUGAGGCGCGAAAGCGUGGGGAGCGAACAGG
This 253-nucleotide ribosomal RNA is filed under the name uncultured bacterium. RNAcentral's name for it is "partial 16S ribosomal RNA". It matches the Rfam family "Bacterial small subunit ribosomal RNA", at positions 524 to 776 of the family's 1533-position model. The record is from RNAcentral.